This 518-nucleotide ribosomal RNA is filed under the name Burkholderia cepacia. RNAcentral describes it as "bacterial SSU rRNA". It matches the Rfam family "Bacterial small subunit ribosomal RNA", at positions 8 to 521 of the family's 1533-position model. The record is from RNAcentral. Lineage: Bacteria; Pseudomonadati; Pseudomonadota; Betaproteobacteria; Burkholderiales; Burkholderiaceae.
AGAGUUUGAUCCUGGCUCAGAUUGAACGCUGGCGGCAUGCCUUACACAUGCAAGUCGAACGGCAGCACGGGUGCUUGCACCUGGUGGCGAGUGGCGAACGGGUGAGUAAUACAUCGGAACAUGUCCUGUAGUGGGGGAUAGCCCGGCGAAAGCCGGAUUAAUACCGCAUACGAUCUACGGAUGAAAGCGGGGGACCUUCGGGCCUCGCGCUAUAGGGUUGGCCGAUGGCUGAUUAGCUAGUUGGUGGGGUAAAGGCCUACCAAGGCGACGAUCAGUAGCUGGUCUGAGAGGACGACCAGCCACACUGGGACUGAGACACGGCCCAGACUCCUACGGGAGGCAGCAGUGGGGAAUUUUGGACAAUGGGCGAAAGCCUGAUCCAGCAAUGCCGCGUGUGUGAAGAAGGCCUUCGGGUUGUAAAGCACUUUUGUCCGGAAAGAAAUCCUUGGCUCUAAUACAGCCGGGGGAUGACGUACCGGAAGAUAAGCACCGGCUAACUACGUGCCAGCAGCCGCGGU